Astyanax mexicanus (Mexican tetra) is the source of this 1314-nucleotide long non-coding RNA. RefSeq lists it as uncharacterized. Lineage: Eukaryota; Metazoa; Chordata; Actinopteri; Characiformes; Acestrorhamphidae. The transcript is spliced from 2 exons. The record is from RefSeq and is a predicted model, not a curated record.
AUAGGACUAUAGGCGUAUAGGAGCAUAGAGGUAUAUGAGUAUAGGACUAUAGGAGUAUAGGAAUAUAAGUGUACAGAUGUAUAUGAGUAUAGGAGUAUAGGAAUAUAAGAGUAUAGAGGUAUAUCAGUAUAGGAGUAUAGGAGUAUAAGAGUAUAGAGGUAUAUCAGUAUAGGAGUAUAGGAAUAUAAGAGUAUAGAGGUAUAUGAGUAUAGAAGUAUAGGAGUAUAGAAGUAUAGAAGUAUUGGAGUAUAGGAAUAUAGGAGUGUAGAAGUAUAGUAGUAUAGGAGUAUAGAGGUAUAGGAGUAUAUGAGUAUAGUAGUAUAGGAGUAUAGGAAUAUAGGAGUGUAGAAGUAUAGUAGUAUAGAGGUAUAGGAGUAUAUGAGUAUAGUAGUAUAGGAGUAUAGGAGUAUAGAGGUAUAGGAGUAUAUGAGUAUAGGAGUAUAGGAAUAUAGGAGUGUAGAAGUAUAGUAGUAUAGGAGUAUAGAGGUAUAGGAGUAUAUGAGUAUAGUAGUAUAGGAGUAUAGGAAUAUAGGAGUGUAGAAGUAUAGUAGUAUAGAGGUAUAGGAGUAUAUGAGUAUAGUAGUAUAGGAGUAUAGGAGUAUAGAGGUAUAGGAGUAUAUGAGUAUAGGAGUAUAGGAAUAUAGGAGUGUAGAAGUAUAGUAGUAUAGGAGUAUAGAGGUAUAGGAGUAUAUGAGUAUAGUAGUAUAGGAGUAUAGAGGUAUAGGAGUAUAUGAGUAUAGUAGUAUAGUAGUAUAGGAGUAUAGAGGUAUAGGAGUAUAUGAGUAUAGUAGUAUAGGAGUAUAGGAAUAUAGGAGUGUAGAAGUAUAGGAGUAUAAGAGUAUAGAGGUAUAGGAGUAUAUGAGUAUAGUAGUAUAGUAGUAUAGGAGUAUAGAGGUAUAGGAGUAUAUGAGUAUAGUAGUAUAGGAGUAUAGAGGUAUAGGAGUAUAUGAGUAUAGUAGUAUAGUAGUAUAGGAGUAUAGAGGUAUAGGAGUAUAUGAGUAUAGUAGUAUAGGAGUAUAGGAAUAUAGGAGUGUAGAAGUAUAGGAGUAUAAGAGUAUAGAGGUAUAGGAGUAUAUGAGUAUAGUAGUAUAGUAGUAUAGGAGUAUAGAGGUAUAGGAGUAUAUGAGUAUAGUAGUAUAGGAGUAUAGAGGUAUAGGAGUAUAUGAGUAUAGUAGUAUAGGAGUAUAGGAGUAUAGGAGUAUUCUGCAGGCUGGUGUUUGGCGGGAGUGCAGCAGUACUUGGAUGCUGUUCGAGUUUCUGCUGAGCUUCAUCCAGAGUCUUUAGCAUUCCCUCAGUCAGCUCCUUCUGCUUCCC